Glycine soja is the source of this 1003-nucleotide RNA transcript. It is a transcript of the gene named probable glucose-1-phosphate adenylyltransferase large subunit, chloroplastic, with no coding region annotated. NCBI's taxonomy places the organism in Eukaryota, Viridiplantae, Streptophyta, Magnoliopsida, Fabales, Fabaceae. The transcript has 7 exons. The record is from RefSeq and is a predicted model, not a curated record.
UCUCUUUUUUUUUUUUUUUAUUUCAUCAAAUCAAAUUAAUUCACCUAAACCCUAUGGCCGACGAAGCCAAAGCCAAAGGCAACACAGCCUUCUCCUCCGGCGACUACCCCACCGCAAUUCACUACUUCUCCGACGCCAUCGCUUUGGCCCCCACCAACCACGUCCUGAAGAUGCGUACCUGUUUCGCUAUGGGAGGGGAUGGCCAUCGCAAUCACCACUUCACUGAAACUGUGGCUAUGGGAGGGAUUGGGCCAACCAUGGGGCUUGUGGACAUUGGAAAGUGUGAAGAGGGAUGAAGGAUGCCAAGCAUGCAAACAUUGAAAAUGUAUUGAUCUUGGCCGGAGAUAAUCUAUACCGAAUGGAUUGCAUGGACCUUGUGCAGAGUCACGUUGAAAAAAAUACAGAUAUUACAGUAUCAUGUGCUGCUGUAGGUGAAAGGCUACAUGACAUGCUAGGCGGGUGUAUGUUGGAGGCCUUCCUCCUACAGCUAAUGAGCAGUCAGUUGCAACUUUCUUUAGUCAAGUUAUGGCUAAGCUUGGGGGAACCACUGCUGGCCCAGAUACAUAAUAAACUUCAAGGAAUCAUGUUGCAGCCAGCCUUAUACCUUUGAAGUACUUUGGUGAAUGUGGUGAUCCCACGACCACCGCCUGAUGGUGAACUUGCCGCUGGAGUUGGAAAGCAAGUAGAUACUUGUGUGCUCGGGUUGCCACCCUAUGAAGCAAAAAGGUCACCAUAUAUUUUGCAUCUAUGGGGUUAUGUAUUCAAGACAGAUGAUUUAGUCAGGCUUCUGAAAUGGAGAUAUCCUACACCUAAUGACUUUGGAUCUGAAAUCAUUCCUGCAGCUGAGGGAAAACAAUGUCCAUGUAAGUGAAAUUGCACUAAACAUAUCUCCUUUCAAAUGUUUGAUCUAUUCUAGAAGUAGUCUUAUCUUACAUUUACAAGGAACUAAUUACUCCUUUAAUGAGGUAAUAAUACAAGUUGAAUGUCUAUUGCCCUCUUUCAA